This 73-nucleotide transfer RNA is filed under the name bacterium. RNAcentral describes it as "tRNA-Arg". It matches the Rfam family "tRNA". From Rfam's summary of the family: Transfer RNA (tRNA) molecules are approximately 80 nucleotides in length. RNAcentral also lists the same sequence under 1 other name. The record is from RNAcentral.
GCCCCCGUAGCUCAGCUGGAUAGAGCACUGGUCUCCGGAGCCAGGUGCACAGGUUCGAGUCCUGUCGGGGGUA